This 542-nucleotide ribosomal RNA is filed under the name uncultured bacterium. Its description in RNAcentral is "partial 16S ribosomal RNA". It matches the Rfam family "Bacterial small subunit ribosomal RNA", at positions 355 to 889 of the family's 1533-position model. The record is from RNAcentral.
UAGGGAAUCUUCGGCAAUGGACGAAAGUCUGACCGAGCAACGCCGCGUGAGUGAAGAAGGUUUUCGGAUCGUAAAACUCUGUUGGUAGAGAAGAACGUUGGUGAGAGUGGAAAGCUCAUCAAGUGACGGUAACUACCCAGAAAGGGACGGCUAACUACGUGCCAGCAGCCGCGGUAAUACGUAGGUCCCGAGCGUUGUCCGGAUUUAUUGGGCGUAAAGCGAGCGCAGGUGGUUUAUUAAGUCUGGUGUAAAAGGCAGUGGCUCAACCAUUGUAUGCAUUGGAAACUGGUAGACUUGAGUGCAGGAGAGGAGAGUGGAAUUCCAUGUGUAGCGGUGAAAUGCGUAGAUAUAUGGAGGAACACCGGUGGCGAAAGCGGCUCUCUGGCCUGUAACUGACACUGAGGCUCGAAAGCGUGGGGAGCAAACAGGAUUAGAUACCCUGGUAGUCCACGCCGUAAACGAUGAGUGCUAGAUGUAGGGAGCUAUAAGUUCUCUGUAUCGCAGCUAACGCAAUAAGCACUCCGCCUGGGGAGUACGACCGC